This 87-nucleotide non-coding RNA is filed under the name unclassified sequences. The record is from RNAcentral.
ACAUGUUUGCCGCCGGGUAAAUAUGUUAAGCGUCAGUUAUCCUAUCCGUAGGCCUUUUGGAGAUAGGACAUUCUGGCGCUUUAUUUU